AUGAACGCUGGCGGCGUGCCUAAGACAUGCAAGUCGAGUGGGUUUAGACCCACGGCGAACGGGUGAGUACAACUUAGGAACUUUUUCCAAGUCGGGUAUAACCAGCCGAAAGGUUGGACAAUCCCCGAUAUUAUCGCAAGAUGAAAGUCGCAAGACGCUUGGAGUGAGGCCUGAGUACCAUCAGCUAGUUGGUAAGGUAAUGGCUUACCAAGGCUAUGACGGUUAGGGGUCCCGAGAGGGAUAACCCCCACACUGGGACUGCGACACGGCCCAGACUCCUACGGGAGGCAGCAGUUUGGAAUAUUGGACAAUGGGCGAAAGCCUGAUCCAGCGACGCCGCGUGGACGAUGAAGGUCUUCGGAUCGUAAAGUCCUUUUGGCAGGGAACAAUUUUUGAGCGUACCUGCAGAAUAAGAGGUUGCUAACUCUGU
This 430-nucleotide ribosomal RNA is filed under the name uncultured bacterium. Its description in RNAcentral is "bacterial SSU rRNA". It matches the Rfam family "Bacterial small subunit ribosomal RNA", at positions 29 to 506 of the family's 1533-position model. The record is from RNAcentral.